This 2423-nucleotide unclassified non-coding RNA is filed under the name Pogonomyrmex barbatus (red harvester ant). Its description in RNAcentral is "paired box protein Pax-6-like, transcript variant X5". Lineage: Eukaryota; Metazoa; Arthropoda; Insecta; Hymenoptera; Formicidae. The record is from RNAcentral.
CUCUCUCUCUCUCUCUCUCUCUCUCUCUCUCUCUGUCGCUCUCCCUCGUUAGGGUUUAGGCGUUCUCGCGUACAAGCUCUUCGCGACGCGUCGCACCACCCUCCUCCAACCCGGUCUCCGACGGAUCUCUCGCGAAAGCGAGAGAGGAGAAGAAUCACGCGCUGCAGAGCAGCACGUGUGCUGCACUCGCGCGGAUCGGCAAGCGCGGUGUGGUUAUAUAGUCAUCGGCUCUCUUACCAUCGUCGAGAGUCCGCCGCGCGGGAUAGCCGACGCGAAAGUUGGUUUGCCCCUCGACCGGGAUUGACCGGGGUGAACGAUCGUCAUUGACGCUUAUUAGACUCCGCUUUUACAGCGCGCGAUUAGCUGCGGGAGUGAGGGGGUGUCCUCGCGAGCGAGCGAUCGCCGGCCGAUUCCGACCACUCCGAUCGGAACGAUACGAUCGACCCGCGCGAAUCAAGUUGGAGUGUUGGAUCCCGCGCGAGUGACGGAGUCACGACUCGCGACUCACCCCCCGGGGACUGUGAUUUCGUAUAUGCGAGGUGCGACGUAAGCAGGAACCCGCUAAGGAUUCGCAGUGGUGUCUUGGCCAAACGUGAGAACGUCGGAGGGAGGACGGGCACCGUCGGCCGUCGGCAGCUCUUGUGAACGGAAGUGUUCAAAGGCCCGAAGAUUCUGCCUUCGCAGCAGCUGGGCGCUGCGGUCGCUCCAUGGCCGGGCGCAACCGGCCUCAUAGCUUCGGUCACUGCUGACGACAUGGCACACAAAGGGCACAGCGGGGUGAACCAGCUGGGAGGUGUCUUCGUCGGCGGUCGGCCGCUUCCGGACUCGACGCGGCAAAAGAUCGUCGAGCUCGCGCAUUCGGGCGCACGGCCAUGCGACAUCUCCAGAAUAUUGCAGGUCAGCAACGGCUGUGUCUCCAAGAUCCUGGGCAGUAGGUACUAUGAGACCGGAUCUAUAAGGCCCAGAGCCAUCGGCGGCAGUAAAUCGCGCGUGGCAACGGCGGAGGUAGUCAGUAAGAUCUCGCUCUACAAAAGUGAGUGCCCGUCCAUCUUCGCGUGGGAGAUCCGAGAUCGCUUGUUGCAGGAGGGCGUAUGCACGAACGACAACAUCCCAAGUGUGUCUUCGAUCAACAGGGUACUGAGGAAUCUAGCUGCGCAAAAGGAGCAGAGGCAGCAACAGCAACAGCAGCAACAAGGGGUGGGCGCUGUGGGGGUUGGCGUCGGUGCUGGCAGCCCGGCAGAGAGCGUUUACGAUAAACUCAGGCUACUAAACGGACAGACCACCGGCUGGCCACGACCCAAUCCCUGGUAUCCAUCAAGCGCAGGAAGUCCGUUUUCGUCGAUACAAUCUAGUUUGAGUCCGAGCCAUUGUUCGUCCCUCCCACCGGAUCCGGCGGACAUAUUGCACGCGAAGAAAGUAACCGAGCUCGAGGGUGGCGCGCACUCGGACGAGACAAACAGCGGGGGUGACAACAGCAAUGCCGGCAGCGUGUCGGGUGGUGCCGACGACGAUCAGGCGCGUCUCCGUCUAAAGAGGAAGCUGCAGAGGAAUCGUACGAGCUUCAGUAACGAGCAGAUCGACGCGCUCGAAAAGGAGUUCGAAAGGACGCAUUACCCGGACGUGUUCGCCAGAGAAAGACUCGCCAGCAAGAUCGGCCUACCGGAGGCGCGAAUACAGGUCUGGUUUUCGAAUCGGCGGGCCAAGUGGCGGCGUGAGGAGAAAUUGCGCACGCAACGGAGGGAUAAUCCGCCACCGCCGCAGCAGCAACAGCAACAACAACAGCAACACACUGCCAGCGUGAACUUGGUGGGUGCUGGCCACCCGACGCCGCCGCCACCCUCGGGGAUACUUGGGGGCCAGCCACCUCCGCAGGCACCACCUUCGCCCCCCAGAAUACAUCACGGUUUCGCGCCCACUGUGUACCCCGGGAUACCCAGCAUGCCCGAUUCGUAUAGCCCGAUGACGUCGAUGCCGAGCUUCACGAUGUCGGGCGCGAGCCAGCAGAAUCAGCACACUACGAGUAGCAUGUCCUCGUUGUCCACCGGGGGUGGCAUGAGCCCGAUGGGCAUGACCGUGGGCAUGACCGUGGGACCGAGCCCCGGCGCGUGCCUCCAGCAACGGGACAACGGCUACUCGUGCGGGGUCGCGAGACCGCCGAGCUACGAGCCCCUUCACCUUGGCUACGGCGCCAGGCCCACCUGCAGCCCCACGCAGCCCUACCACGCGGCGAGCCUCAAUCAGUACAAUCAGAACGCCAGCUCGACCGGUGAGUGUCUACCGCACUCACUGCAUUCGCUGCUUGCACUCUAGCCGAUGGACUACUACUACGGCUACCAUGGAUAACACGCUAUCGAGCCCGCCGGUCUAAUAUCACCUGGCGUGAGUGUGCCGAUCGCGGUACCAGGUCAACCGGCACCCGACAU